RNAcentral lists this ribosomal RNA (433 nucleotides) under uncultured bacterium. RNAcentral describes it as "partial 16S ribosomal RNA". It matches the Rfam family "Bacterial small subunit ribosomal RNA", at positions 29 to 507 of the family's 1533-position model. The record is from RNAcentral.
AACGAACGCUGGCGGCAUGCCUAACACAUGCAAGUCGAACGAGACCUUCGGGUCUAGUGGCGCACGGGUGCGUAACGCGUGGGAACCUGCCCUUAGGUUCGGAAUAACUCCCCGAAAGGGGUGCUAAUACCGGAUAAUGUCUUCGGACCCAAGAUUUAUCGCCUUUGGAUGGGCCCGCGUUGGAUUAGCUAGUUGGUAGGGUAAAAGCCUACCAAGGCGACGAUCCAUAGCUGGUCUGAGAGGAUGAUCAGCCACACUGGGACUGAGACACGGCCCAGAAUCCUACGGGAGGCAGCAGUGGGGAAUAUUGGACAAUGGGCGAAAGCCUGAUCCAGCAAUGCCGCGUGAGUGAUGAAGGCCUUAGGGUUGUAAAGCUCUUUUACACGGGAUGAUAAUGACGGUACCGGGAGAAUAAGCUCCGGCUAACUCCGUG